RNAcentral lists this ribosomal RNA (429 nucleotides) under Bacteroidota bacterium. RNAcentral describes it as "Bacteroidetes bacterium partial 16S ribosomal RNA". It matches the Rfam family "Bacterial small subunit ribosomal RNA", at positions 355 to 776 of the family's 1533-position model. The record is from RNAcentral. Lineage: Bacteria; Pseudomonadati; Bacteroidota.
UAGGGAAUCUUCCGCAAUGGACGCAAGUCUGACGGAGCAACGCCGCGUGAGUGAAGAAGGAUUUCGGUUCGUAAAACUCUGUUGUUAGAGAAGAACAGCGCAUAGAGUAACUGUUAUGCGUGUGACGGUAUCUAACCAGAAAGCCACGGCUAACUACGUGCCAGCAGCCGCGGUAAUACGUAGGUGGCAAGCGUUGUCCGGAUUUAUUGGGCGUAAAGCGAGCGCAGGCGGUCAAUUAAGUCUGAUGUGAAAGCCCCCGGCUCAACCGGGGAGGGUCAUUGGAAACCGGUUGACUUGAGUGCAGAAGAGGAGAGUGGAAUUCCAUGUGUAGCGGUGAAAUGCGUAGAUAUAUGGAGGAACACCAGUGGCGAAGGCGACUCUCUGGUCUGUAACUGACGCUGAGGCUCGAAAGCGUGGGUAGCAAACAGG